AUGGUGAACCCACCGUAGGCCUUCGGGCCUAUGUCUUAUCAUAUAAUCUGAAUGUCUAAUAGAAUGUAAACCCAUUUCGUUGCCUUGAAAACGUAACGAAAGAAAACUAUACAACUUUCAACAACGGAUCUCUUGGCUCUCGCAUCGAUGAAGAACGCAGCGAAAUGCGAUAAGUAAUGUGAAUUGCAGAUUUUCAGUGAAUCAUCGAAUCUUUGAACGCACCUUGCGCCCCUUGGUAUUCCGAGGGGCAUGCCUGUUUGAGUGUCAUUAAAUCCUCAACCCCUCCGAUUCGUUUCGGUGGGGAUUGGACUUGGAGCGUGCUGGCGAAGGUCGGCUCCUCUUUAAAUGCAUCAGCGGAGAAAAUGCCUUUUGCGCCUCUGGCCGUUCAGCGUGAUAAUGAUGUUGCGCUGCGGUCGAGCUUAAGGUCCGCUUCCAAAGGUCCUCGGACAAAUAUACAUAUGACUUUUGACCUCAAAUCAGGUAGGACUACCCGCUGAACUUAAGCAUAUCAAUAAG
Molecule: ribosomal RNA, 516 nt
Filed under: uncultured Tylospora
Lineage: Eukaryota; Fungi; Basidiomycota; Agaricomycetes; Atheliales; Atheliaceae
Description: eukaryotic LSU rRNA
Rfam family: 5.8S ribosomal RNA (bases 113-267)
Source: RNAcentral